RNAcentral lists this ribosomal RNA (468 nucleotides) under uncultured bacterium. RNAcentral describes it as "partial 16S ribosomal RNA". It matches the Rfam family "Bacterial small subunit ribosomal RNA", at positions 28 to 507 of the family's 1533-position model. The record is from RNAcentral.
GAUGAACGCUGGCGGCGUGCUUAACACAUGCAAGUCGAACGGUGAAGGCGGAGCUUGCUCUGCUGGAUCAGUGGCGAACGGGUGAGUAACACGUGAGCAAUCUGCCCCUGACUAUGGGAUAAGCGCUGGAAACGGCGUCUAAUACUGGAUACGAGCUGCGAAGGCAUCUUCAGCAGCUGGAAAGAAUUUCGGUCAGGGAUGAGCUCGCGGCCUAUCAGCUUGUUGGUGAGGUACUGGCUCACCAAGGCGUCGACGGGUAGCCGGCCUGGGAGGGUGACCGGCCACACUGGGACUGAGACACGGCCCAGACUCCUACGGGAGGCAGCAGUGGGGAAUAUUGCACAAUGGGCGAAAGCCUGAUGCAGCAACGCCGCGUGAGGGACGACGGCCUUCGGGUUGUAAACCUCUUUUAGCAGGGAAGAAGCGAAAGUGACGGUACCUGCAGAAAAAGCGCCGGCUAACUACGUG